AACUGGUUGUAACUGUUGCAAGUUGUUAUUGAGCAGUUACUAAGCAGUUAUAGAUGGAGGGAAGAUUGUAUAAAAUGGGUGCUGAGAGUAAUUCUAUAUUCAUUCAAGAUUCUAAUCAAUAAUAUCAUCUCUCUCCCAUCUUCUUCCUACUCUUUCCUCUCUUCUCUCUCUUCCUUCUUCUCUAUUCUAUUUCUUCUUCUGUCGAGUAUCAGUUGUUAGGGUU
This 223-nucleotide unclassified non-coding RNA is filed under the name Hevea brasiliensis (rubber tree). The record is from RNAcentral. Lineage: Eukaryota; Viridiplantae; Streptophyta; Magnoliopsida; Malpighiales; Euphorbiaceae.